CACACGACCGUACCGCAAACCGACACUGGUGCGCGAGAUGAGUAUUCUAAGGCGCUUGAGAGAACUCAGGAGAAGGAACUCGGCAAAUUGACACCGUAACUUCCGAAGAAGGUGUGCCUUUAGUAGGUGAACCAUUUACUUGGGGAGCCCAAUGAGGCUGCAAAAAAUCGGUGGCUGCAACUGUUUAUUAAAAACACAGCACUCUGCUAAGACGAAAGUCGACGUAUAGGGUGUGACGCCUGCCCGGCGCUGGAAGAUUAAAUGAUGGGGUGCAAGCUCUUGAUUGAAGUCCCAGUAAACGGCGGCCGUAACUAUAACGGUCCUAAGGUAGCGAAAUUCCUUGUCGGGUAAGUUCCGACCUGCACGAAUGGCGUAAUGAUGGCCACACUGUCUCCUCCUGAGACUCAGCGAAGUUGAAAUGUUUGUGAUGAUGCAAUCUCCCCGCGGAAAGACGGAAAGACCCCAUGAACCUUUACUGUAGCUUUGUAUUGGACUUUGAACAGAUCUGUGUAGGAUAGGUGGGAGGCUUUGAAGUGUGGUCGCUAGAUCGCAUGGAGCCAACGUUGAAAUACCACCCUGGUGUGUUUGAGGUUCUAACCUAGGUCCAUUAUCUGGAUCGGGGACAGUGCAUGGUAGGCAGUUUGACUGGGGCGGUCUCCUCCCAAAGUGUAACGGAGGAGUUCGAAGGUACGCUAGGUACGGUCGGACAUCGUGCUAAUAGUGCAAUGGCAUAAGCGUGCUUAACUGCGAGACUGACAAGUCGAGCAGAUGCGAAAGCAGGACAUAGUGAUCCGGUGGUUCUGUACGGAAGGGCCAUCGCUCAACGGAUAAAAGGUACUCUGGGGAUAACAGGCCGAUACCGCCCAAGAGUUCAUAUCGACGGCGGUGUUUGGCACCUCGAUGUCGGCUCAUCUCAUCCUGGGGCUGUAGCCGGUCCCAAGGGUAUGGCUGUUCGCCAUUUAAAGAGGUACGUGAGCUGGGUUUAAAACGUCGUGAGACAGUUUGGUCCCUAUCUUCCGUGGGCGCUGCAGAUUUGAGGAAGCCUGCUCCUAGUACGAGAGGACCGGAGUGGACGAACCUCUGGUGUAUCGGUUGUCACGCCAGUGGCAUUGCCGAGUAGCUAAGUUCGGAAGAGAUAACCGCUGAAAGCAUCUAAGCGGGAAACUCGUUUCAAGAUUAGAUCUGCCGGGGCCUUGAGCCCCCUAAAGAGUCGUUCAAGACCAGGACGUUGAUAGGUCAGGUGUGGAAGCG
Molecule: ribosomal RNA, 1251 nt
Filed under: metagenome
Description: bacterial LSU rRNA
Rfam family: Bacterial large subunit ribosomal RNA
Source: RNAcentral